GGCGGUGGGGGUUGGUGAGGCCAAGAUGGCCGCCAUCGGUAUGGGUUGGCCGUUCCAAGAUGGCUGCCGCCACUAUGAGUUGGCCAUCCAAGAUGGCUGCCAGCAGGAUGGGUUGGUGGGUCCAAGAUGGCUGCCACCAUAAUGCAUUGGCCAGACAAGAUGGCCACCAGCAGCAUGGGAUGGCCGAUCCAAGAUGGCCGCCCUACCUGGGAAGGAGCCCCCUGCCUGCUCAUUGGCUGAGCGCUCCAAGAUGGCUGCCAUUCCACGUCCUCGUUGGUUGACCAUCCAAGAUGGCUGCCACCCCCACAGAGUGGCCGAUCCAAGAUGGCCGCCCCGCCUGGGAGGGAUCCUCCUGCCCUCUCAUUGGCUGAGCGUUCCAAGAUGGCUGCCAUUCCACGUCCUCAUUGGUUGACCAUCCACGAUGGCUGCUGCCUUCCUCUCCAUUGGCUCACCCAUCUAAGAUGGCUGCCCUCCUUUGUCCUGAUUGGCUGGACACCCCAAGAUGGCCGCUCGUGCCCAUCCUGGCUGCUCAUUGGUUCCUGCAGAGCUGUGGUGCCCUCCCAUUGGUCGGGGCCAUUUGAUAGUGGGACUUCUGGGCGCCAUCUUGGAGUGACGUCACACUGUGAGCAACGCUGCGUUCCUACUGGCUUGCCGCAGCCUCCCAUCGACCAAUGGCUGUGUCCCGCUGGUCGCGCAACUCCCUCCGCCCAAUCACAGCGUCCCGUUGGCCGAGCGGAGCGUCCUGAUUGGCCGAGCUCUUCCCCUUGUCCAAACGGCAGCUUCCCAUUGGCUGUGCUCAUCUCAAUGGCCUAUCAGAGCCGCCCGUGGACCUCAGAACUCCCUCCCCCCCCCCCCGUGCCUCAUAAGCUCCGCCCCCGAUCCUUUAAGCCCCGCCCCUCCCGGGGAUGGGGCUCUGCGGACCAAUAAACAAUCACCGGAAGUGACG
Molecule: long non-coding RNA, 946 nt
Filed under: Gallus gallus (chicken)
Lineage: Eukaryota; Metazoa; Chordata; Aves; Galliformes; Phasianidae
Source: RNAcentral